GGGCCCUUAGUCGAUCGGUAAGACGCCGCCUUCGCAAGGCGGAGACACGGGGUUCAAUUCCCCGAGGGUCCA
Molecule: transfer RNA, 72 nt
Filed under: Microcaldota archaeon
Lineage: Archaea; Nanobdellati; Microcaldota
Description: tRNA-Ala
Rfam family: tRNA
About the family: Transfer RNA (tRNA) molecules are approximately 80 nucleotides in length. Their secondary structure includes four short double-helical elements and three loops (D, anti-codon, and T loops). Further hydrogen bonds mediate the characteristic L-shaped molecular structure. tRNAs have two regions of fundamental functional importance: the anti-codon, which is responsible for specific mRNA codon recognition, and the 3' end, to which the tRNAs corresponding amino acid is attached (by aminoacyl-tRNA synthetases). tRNAs cope with the degeneracy of the genetic code in two manners: having more than one tRNA (with a specific anti-codon) for a particular amino acid; and 'wobble' base-pairing, i.e. permitting non-standard base-pairing at the 3rd anti-codon position.
Source: RNAcentral